RNAcentral lists this ribosomal RNA (553 nucleotides) under uncultured Nitrososphaerota archaeon. RNAcentral's name for it is "bacterial SSU rRNA". It matches the Rfam family "Archaeal small subunit ribosomal RNA", at positions 325 to 879 of the family's 1478-position model. Lineage: Archaea; Thermoproteati; Nitrososphaerota. The record is from RNAcentral.
ACGGGGUGCAGCAGGCGCGAAACCUUUGCAAUGUGCGAAAGCACGACAAGGUUAAUCCGAGUGUCUCCUGCUAAAGGAGUCUUUUGUCAGUUGUAGAAUCACUGAUGAAUAAGGGGUGGGCAAGUUCUGGUGUCAGCCGCCGCGGUAAAACCAGCACCUCGAGUGGUCAGGAGGUUUAUUGGGCCUAAAGCAUCCGUAGCCGGUUGCAUAAGUUUUCGGUUAAAUCUAUGCGCUCAACGUAUAGGCCGCCGAAAAUACUGUGCAGCUAGGGAGUGGGAGAGGUACACGGUACUCAAUAGGAAGGGGUAAAAUCCUUUGAUCUAUUGAUGACCACCUGUGGCGAAGGCGGUGUACCAGAACACGUUCGACGGUGAGGGAUGAAAGCUGGGGGAGCAAACCGGAUUAGAUACCCGGGUAGUCCCAGCUGUAAACGAUGCAGACUCGGUGAUGCAUUGGCUUGUGGCCAAUGCAGUGCCGCAGGGAAGCCGUUAAGUCUGCCGCCUGGGAAGUACGUACGCAAGUAUGAAACUUAAAGGAAUUGGCGGGGGCGCAC